AGAUGCUGAUGGUCCAGUGGACAGAGCUCUUGGUGUCAAAGCUAAACUUGAUGCAGGAGACCAGAGGAAUGUAGUCAAUGUAAAAUCUGACUCGUUUUGUCGAAACGACAGAACAGUUUUCCAUCCGCUCCACUAGGCGGCGAAAGCGAGUUUCAGGUUCAGUGUGAUCUCUGAUGUCUUCGUGUGCUUGGCUUGCAACAACCAACAACACGCGCAAGGUGCGACAGCCCAUAUUCCAGCCCAUAAACUAAUAAAACCGACACAAACUUCGAUGAAGUGAAGGAACCGAGUGUCACUCACUUGACUCAUCAGACACCCUGGUUCUUGCCUAAAAAGACGUGUUUAUGGCUGCUUAUAGCCUUACCCUGCAGUUGGUUCACCCUCCGCCUAUGGAUUCAGGAACCAAAGUAUUUGGUGAUGUGUGGAGAGUCUCUGUCACUGACCAGGUUUGAGCAGAUCGUGGGUGCCGAUGAGUACUUUGGGAACCAGGAGUCUAACUGACGAGAAUGUGUCUGCAUUAGCUUUGCCAACACGCUUGGACCAGAGCAGGCUUCGGUGAUGCUUUGACAUGCAGAAUUAGAGAUGUGUGAGGAGUGUUACACCCAGCCAACAGAAGCAUGUGGACAGACAAUGACUAGACUGAUGGAGAUCUGCUCAUGCACAGGUAAUGCUUAUAUCAUUUCAGUGUGUGUUGUUGGCUUGCAAAUGUGUAGGUUAUUAUCUUUUUUUUUUUUGGAAGGGUCACUAUAUUUAGUGAUCGACAUACGAUUUAAAUUAUCUUUAAAAAAUUGCAUAUAAUAUAAAUAAAUAUACCCGCCACACACACACAUAUAUAGCAAAGUUUUGCAUUGUUACUGAAUGCAACUUCUACUUUGACAAUGCCUGAAUGUGUUAUUUAAAUGACAUUUGUCUUAACAUGUAACUUAUAUUAAACCUUAAAUAAUACUCCUUUGGUAUCUAAUAUGAAGGACACAAUGGAUUGCUUUUGUAUGCUUGUUUU
This is a long non-coding RNA of Carassius auratus (goldfish), 1000 nucleotides long. RefSeq lists it as uncharacterized. NCBI's taxonomy places the organism in Eukaryota, Metazoa, Chordata, Actinopteri, Cypriniformes, Cyprinidae. The record is from RefSeq and is a predicted model, not a curated record. The transcript has 4 exons.